UUGUAGAUGUUAAAAGCAAGAGACAUGGGAGAGCAUCAUUCCUUUGAGAUUUUAUAACUCAAACCAACUUUGGAGUUGUCUGAUUUGGAGAGUCAUUAUUCUUGGUCUUCGCUCUUAAAGGCCACUGAUGAAGAACAGGCGGUGACUGGGAUGAAUGCUGGUCAGAGAGGAGAAUCUUCUUUCCCCUAAACUGAUGCAGCGGUGGUUUUAAAGAAGGACGCUGCCUUGGAUGAUGUAGAAGAUGUCACAUGCUGUGCUGAUGGGGUUUCUUCAUGAUUACAUCAGUUAUGCUAAAGAGAUCAUGAAAAUUGACUGUGAUGCAUGAUCUGUAUUCAUGGACUAUGAAACAAACUGUAAGUGUAUAAUUUGUAAAAAAAAAAAAAAAAAAAAAGUUAAAUGCUUUUUCUGUGUUGUUUAGUAGAAGAGUUUACACUCUGUCAUUCAUACACCUGUCACUUUCUUUCACACACACACACACACACACACACACACACACACACACACACACACACAUGCGUCUGUUAAAUGUUAUAAUAUCAAAGUUAAUGUUGUGAUUUAUUUGUGUACUGUCAUGCCAGAAUAGUUGGAAAAAAACCUAACUAAUUGUAAAUUUAUUGUUUGUGUUUUCGUAUAUUUUUAUACAAUAUAUACAAUUGAACAAAGUCCAAUUUGAUCUUAAGUUAUAUUCAUCAAAUGUUCAAUGCUUUGUUUAUGAACUCUGUAGCUGUUAAUGCCAAAUAUUUUCUGCAUUUCUUCUAACAUGUUACUUUUUGACUUUUUUUCUUGUUUUUAAUAAAUAUUUUCCUUUUGGUAAUUA
Long non-coding RNA from Carassius gibelio (silver crucian carp), 817 nucleotides. RefSeq lists it as uncharacterized. The transcript has 3 exons. NCBI's taxonomy places the organism in Eukaryota, Metazoa, Chordata, Actinopteri, Cypriniformes, Cyprinidae. The record is from RefSeq and is a predicted model, not a curated record.